RNAcentral lists this ribosomal RNA (501 nucleotides) under uncultured bacterium. Its description in RNAcentral is "partial 16S ribosomal RNA". It matches the Rfam family "Bacterial small subunit ribosomal RNA", at positions 30 to 523 of the family's 1533-position model. The record is from RNAcentral.
AUUGAACGCUGGCGGCAGGCUUAACACAUGCAAGUCGAGCGGGGAAGGGUAGCUUGCUACCUAACCUAGCGGCGGACGGGUGAGUAAUGCUUAGGAAUCUGCCAUUUAGUGGGGGACAACGUUCCGAAAGGAAUGCUAAUACCGCAUACGUCCUACGGGAGAAAGCAGGGGAUCUUCGGACCUUGCGCUAAAUGAUGAGCCUAAGUCGGAUUAGCUAGUUGGUGGGGUAAAGGCCUACCAAGGCGACGAUCUGUAGCGGGUCUGAGAGGAUGAUCCGCCACACUGGUACUGAGAACCGGCCCAGACUCCUACGGGAGGCAGCAGUGGGGAAUAUUGGACAAUGGGCGGAAGCCUGAUCCAGCCAUGCCGCGUGUGUGAAGAAGGCCUUAUGGUUGUAAAGCACUUUAAGCGAGGAGGAGGCUACUUAGAUUAAUACUCUAGGAUAGUGGACGUUACUCGCAGAAUAAACACCGGCUAACUCUGUGCCAGCAGCCGCCGUAA